UACGGAGGGGGCUAGCGUUGUUCGGAAUCACUGGGCGUAAAGCGUGCGUAGGCGGCUUUGCAAGUCAGAGGUGAAAGCCUGGAGCUCAACUCCAGAACUGCCUUUGAGACUGCGGAGCUAGAGGUCGAGAGAGGUAAGUAGAAUUCCGAGUGUAGAGGUGAAAUUCGUAGAUAUUCGGAAGAAUACCAGUGGCGAAGGCGACUUACUGGAUCGAUACUGACGCUGAGGUACGAAAGCGUGGGGAGCAAACAGG
RNAcentral lists this ribosomal RNA (253 nucleotides) under uncultured bacterium. RNAcentral describes it as "partial 16S ribosomal RNA". It matches the Rfam family "Bacterial small subunit ribosomal RNA", at positions 524 to 776 of the family's 1533-position model. The record is from RNAcentral.